Daphnia pulex (common water flea) is the source of this 620-nucleotide long non-coding RNA. RefSeq lists it as uncharacterized. The transcript is spliced from 3 exons. The record is from RefSeq and is a predicted model, not a curated record. Lineage: Eukaryota; Metazoa; Arthropoda; Branchiopoda; Diplostraca; Daphniidae.
UGAUUUUGGUAUUUACAAAAAACUUGGUGAUUCACUGAGGGAAGAUCCGAGUCUUCGUUGCAAUAAAACAGAAUUUUGCCUUGACAAAGUUCGAUCAGGAAAUUACGUUUAUAUUCACGGAAAACCGAUCGUCCAGAAAAUUAUUGCCAUGGAUCGAGAGCGGACAGGAUCAUGCCAUUUUACUGUUGCUUCAGAAACUUUUAUGGCGGGCCAUCUUUAUUGGUUGUUGUCAAAGAAAAGUCCCUACACAGAAACCACUAAUCGUGGAAUAUUAAGGAUGCAGGAAACUGGUUUAUUGGGGAAGUGGAUGGAAACAUUCAACCCUGAAGGGACAAAAUGUUUAUUGAAGAAAAACGCGGAGAAAAACGGAAUCUCUCGAAUUAGCCUACAAAAUUUGACAAGCGCGUUUAUUCUAUUGAUAUUUGGAAUUAGCGGUUCAAUUCUCAUCUUUUUGGUCGAAUUCAUGAUGAAUCGCCUGUUCGGGCGCGAUUCUUCUCGCAAAAUUUCUCACUGAGGGGUUGCCAAUUUUUUUUCCGUGAUUCACUUAUCCGGAAAAUUGAAAAGCCGAAAAUCUAGAGGAUUAAUAGAAUUUUUAGAAAUUUAAGAGAAAAUUUAAAACA